UACAGAGGGGGCAAGCGUUGUUCGGAAUUACUGGGCGUAAAGGGCGCGUAGGCGGCCUUCUAAGUCGAACGUGAAAUCCCCGGGCUCAACCCGGGAACUGCGUCCGAUACUGGAAGGCUUGAAUCCGGGAGAGGGAUGUGGAAUUCCAGGUGUAGCGGUGAAAUGCGUAGAUAUCUGGAGGAACACCGGUGGCGAAGGCGGCAUCCUGGACCAACACUGACGCUGAUGAGCGAAAGCCAGGGGAGCAAACAGG
Molecule: ribosomal RNA, 253 nt
Filed under: uncultured bacterium
Lineage: Bacteria
Description: partial 16S ribosomal RNA
Rfam family: Bacterial small subunit ribosomal RNA
Source: RNAcentral